RNAcentral lists this ribosomal RNA (495 nucleotides) under uncultured bacterium. Its description in RNAcentral is "partial 16S ribosomal RNA". It matches the Rfam family "Bacterial small subunit ribosomal RNA", at positions 28 to 507 of the family's 1533-position model. The record is from RNAcentral.
GACGAACGCUGGCGGCGUGCCUAAUACAUGCAAGUAGAACGCUGAAGGAGGAGCUUGCUUCUCUGGAUGAGUUGCGAACGGGUGAGUAACGCGUAGGUAACCUGCCUGGUAGCGGGGGAUAACUAUUGGAAACGAUAGCUAAUACCGCAUAAUAUUGACUAUUGCAUGAUAGUCAGUUGAAAGGUGCAACUGCACCACUACCAGAUGGACCUGCGUUGUAUUAGCUAGUUGGUGGGGUAACGGCUCACCAAGGCGACGAUACAUAGCCGACCUGAGAGGGUGAUCGGCCACACUGGGAGUGAGACACGGCCCAGACUCCUACGGGAGGCAGCAGUAGGGAAUCUUGGGCAAUGGACGGAAGUCUGACCGAGCAACGCCGCGUGAGUGAAGAAGGUUUUCGGGUCGUAAAGCUCGGUUGUAAGAGAAGAACGAGUGUGAGAGUGGAAAGCUCACACUGUGACGGUAUCUUACCAGAAAGGGACGGCUAACUACGUG